AAGCCCGAGUAAACGGCGGCCGUAACUAUAACGGUCCUAAGGUAGCGAAAUUCCUUGUCGGUUAAAUACCGACCUGCAUGAAUGGCGUAACGAGAUGGGAGCUGUCUCAACCAGAGAUUCAGUGAAAUUGUAGUGGAGGUGAAAAUUCCUCCUACCCGCGGCAAGACGGGAAGACCCC
This 178-nucleotide ribosomal RNA is filed under the name Helicobacter pylori. Its description in RNAcentral is "partial 23S ribosomal RNA". It matches the Rfam family "Bacterial large subunit ribosomal RNA", at positions 1915 to 2092 of the family's 2925-position model. The record is from RNAcentral. Lineage: Bacteria; Pseudomonadati; Campylobacterota; Epsilonproteobacteria; Campylobacterales; Helicobacteraceae.